ACACAUAUUGCUUUUAAAGGCGCUCGCUCACAGCCCAGUGGCUUCAGCUGCCAACGACCGAUGCACCCGCUGCCGCUGACGCCGCCGCGCGCUCUGCUGUCCGUUAAAUAGACCGACAACAACAAAGACAACGGCGCUCGUCCCGCGCGUGAGGGGCUGAAUGUACGAGGUGAAGAGGUCUACAGUACCAGCGUCCGAUUGUAACGUGGGCAAUUUCUCGUCAACAUUAAUGAAGCUUUCAAGGCUUUUUGAUUGAUCGGCAAAUAGAUGGGGAUUCUCCGGGGAGCUCCGCCCACCUGCGUCGCCUGCCGCCCCCCACCCCCCACCGCCGUCGGCCCCUGCUGCUUCCACCCCGUUCCCCCCCGGCCCUCUGCCCAUGCCUGCCUGCAGCCCCCCGCUCUUAACAUGACACUGGAACUCACCGAGUGGCCUUCCAAAUGGAUUUUGUCCACAGCCAAUAGACAAUAAGCUUGGAAAAAGUAGGAGGAGACAUGUCGAUGUCUGAAUAAGCCACACACACACACACACACACACACACACACACACACACACACACACACACACACACACACACACACACACACACACACACACACACACACACUCUCUCAUGUUCAUACACUCACAUGCUUCGCUCACUCUUAGACAUAACGCACCUGUGGAAUGUAUCUUGCGCCUUUACUGUGAAAAUAAUUCGACCACUUCCUUUCGCGCCACUCAAGGGCACAGGAGGACCUCAAUGCCGACGGAGUUGGAUGAUACUUUUAUUUUGAAGGCCGCGUUUAGCGGCUUGGCUGACCAGGCUCACAUUUUUGUUUUUUUGGAGCCCAGUUUUACGCCCGAAGCUUAAAUUAAUCCCCCACCCCAACCAGAAGAAGCUUUUCACUAUCAUCCCAAUUGUGUGAUUACACCUGAAUGCUAAUUGUAAACACCACUGCACCUACUUAGCUUUGCUAUCACUCAAUGCUAUGCUGUAAUUCAGUAUUAGGUGGACAUUAACAAUUUUGCCAUUCUACAUUUAUACAUAUAUACAUUCUUUUUUCCCCCAUUAUAUCACAAACAAAAACAGCAUACAUAAAUAUAGAUUGAGUAUUACCGCUAGGUGUUUUUUUUCUUUGGUUUUGGUUUGUUUUGGUCUUUCCCGGAGAGAAAGCAAUUCCCUGUGUUUCCACCGUCCUACCACGCCACUGACCAGGGGGGCCGUCGUCACAGAGCUGCAGGGGGGCGCGCGCUUGUCUUCCGUCGCGUGCAUGCGCUCCGCCAUGCCUCCCCAGAACGCCGACGCCGGCGACUCCGUGUCUGGAUCUGUGGUGGGCCUGGUGGAGUCCAAGACCCCCGGCCCGG
This is a long non-coding RNA of Gadus chalcogrammus (walleye pollock), 1344 nucleotides long. RefSeq lists it as uncharacterized. The transcript is spliced from 3 exons. NCBI's taxonomy places the organism in Eukaryota, Metazoa, Chordata, Actinopteri, Gadiformes, Gadidae. The record is from RefSeq and is a predicted model, not a curated record.